AGUCCGAGGUGUAAUUGUAGGAGAAGCUUUGGGUGGUUGGUCCGGCCUUAAGUGCCUUGGAACAGGACGUCGUAGAGGGUGAGAAUCCCGUAUGCGGCUGGGACGGGCGCCCGUGUAAAGCUCUUUUGACGAGUCGAGUUGUUUGGGAAUGCAGCUCAAAAUGGGUGGUAAAUUUUAUCUAAAGCUAAAUAUGGGCCAGAGACCGAUAGCGCACAAGUAGAGUGAUCGAAAGAUGAAAAGUACUUUGGAAAGAGAGUUAAACAGUACGUGAAAUUGUUGAAAGGGAAGCGCUUGCAACCAGACUUGGGCGUCGCUGAUCAUCCAAAGUUUUCUUUGGUGCACUUGACGAUGCACAGGCCAGCAUCGGUUGGGGUGGUGGGAGAAAGGUCGUAGGAACGUAGCUCUUUUCGGGGAGUGUUAUAGCCUGCGGCGCAAUACCGCCUACCCUGACCGAGGACCGCGCUUCGGCUAGGAUGCUGGCGUAAUGGUUGUAAGCGACCCGUCUUGAAACACGGACCAAGGAGUCUAACAUCUAUGCGAGUGUUUGGGUGCAAAACCCAUACGCGUAAUGAAAGUGAACGUAGGUGAGAACCC
This 594-nucleotide ribosomal RNA is filed under the name Phyllactinia terminaliae. Its description in RNAcentral is "eukaryotic LSU rRNA". It matches the Rfam family "Eukaryotic large subunit ribosomal RNA", at positions 136 to 744 of the family's 3401-position model. The record is from RNAcentral. Lineage: Eukaryota; Fungi; Ascomycota; Leotiomycetes; Helotiales; Erysiphaceae.